CCGCGCGGGGCAGCUGUGCGGGAGGAAGUGGCCAGCUCAGGGCCUUAGGGGAGCCUGAGGGGCGGGUGGGGCGAUGGCGGGCUCAGACGAGGCGGGGGGCCUGGGGGCCCCCGGAGGAAGGUUCAGGGGGCGAGUAGGUGUGGGGGGAGCCGUCCAGAGGGGAGCUUCGUGGAAAGGAGCCGUCACGAGGCGGCCGGCGGCGCCCGUCCAGGCCUCGCUCUGCCUGUGGGCGCCGGGCACGGCCUCGGGGAGGGAGGUGCCGCCCGUGGGCUGAGUGCCCGCGGGGCCCGGCUCGGGAGGGAGGCAGAGAGGACAGGAGGAGGCAGGGUGUUGCCACCCUGCGGGAGGCCAGGCGGGACCGGGUGGCGGGUGCCCUGAGUGUGGGGAGGAAGCAGUGGGUGCCGGGCCCAGGUGGCCGGGCGGGCUGGCCUUGACCUUGUCACACCAGCAGCCCCCUUUCUUCCAGACCAAGGGUGUGCACCCGCCCGGGGAUGAGGCCUGGUCUUGUGGAAUUGAACUUAGCUCCGCGGGCCGGCGGCUCGGCCCAGGGUGGUGGCAGUGCUCCCCCUUGGACUUGCCCUGUAGGUUCGGUGCUAGCCGCUCUGCCCCUCCUCCCUUUACCUCUCUCGAGGUUUCCCUUCACUUAAAACCUUGCUUCUGGUGACCUGGUAAGCCCGGGAGGUGCCGAGGGCCCUGCUGGAGUCGGUAUUGCUGGUAACCUCGACGGAGAGGCUGUCCCUGCCGAGACGGGUGGGGCGGGCUGGUGUCGCUGGCCGGUGGAGAGGGCGGGAUUGCACGGGCACCCGGGGCUGGGCCCGCAGCGAUGGGACCAGCUGGGAGUCCCUCAUGGACCGUGGUUUGUUACCAUAGUGUUCUUCACGGCGACCAGAUGGCACCAGCAGACAUGGAGCCCCUGGCCAGUGUGAGUCGUAGCAGAGGAGAGAGCUCGCCUAAGUUGAUGGCUGCAGAUUGAAUUUCCAGAGUCUUAGGAGGAGGAAGUUCUCCAAUGGCAUGUUUCCAGGCCUUGCUCAGGAAGCCCUGUGUUCAGGAGCCCCUCAGUUAAGGUUUCAGAUGAGCUUCUGCGGGGGGCAAUCUUAAAGUCCAAAUCAGAUGCUCCGGGCCACCAGCAGAUGCGUUUAUUUGAAUCUUGAUCUUGGAGCACCAACCUCCGGGCCCAUGAAUGCCAGCAGGCACCCCUCCUUUUUUGGGUGGAGGUUUUCAGAUGCUGCAUCUUCUGUAUUGAGCCUCCUGUCAUGCUAGUUCUCUGCUACGAACCUUGCUUCCAGAAGAUUCUUAAGCUGUAGAACAUUUUAACGUUGAUGUCGCAACGGAGAGUGAUGCCUUGUAGAUGGAACUUGCAGAUGGAGCCCAGUGAUCCUCUCACCUACCCACCCACCCGCCUGCCUGCCUGUGCUUUGGUCGGAGGAAUUCUUAGUGUGAUGAUGGAACUGUGGGAAGUGCCUUGGGCAAAGGCUUGGAUGAAGCAAGUUGGGGUGGGGAUGAUUGGAGUGUGUGCAGCCUGGUGGGGUACAAGUUGGUCAUGUCCAAAUUCUGUUAGAAACGGCAGGUGUAGUUUGGGCAUUUCCAUUGCAUCGCAGGUUACAAAGAGGGGAAUGGUCGGGUACUGGCGGUGAUCUUUGGUUCAUCUUGCUGUAUUUUAACUUGAAUUCUACUUGAUUAGAUUUCAAAAUAAUCUUGGUAUUCAAGGGGGAUCCUCCCUGAGGUGAGGGUAGUAAGAGGGAAAGGGUACAGCUUGACACUGGUAUUGGGGGGAGUGAAGAAAGGGAAGAGGGGUGAUUAGCUCUAUGGCAGAGGGUGGGGCUGUAGGGAAUAUGGGGGAAGGGAAUUCUCUGGGGAAAGGGAGGUGCUGGGAGGGGUGGGUUGGAAAAAAGAAGAGGAUGGGUUAUAUUACAGAGGGUGAGGGUGGUAGGGAAUGUGGGUUGAGGGGGAUUUUCUGGAGAAAACAUCGGUGGGGAGAGCUCUGGAGAAUUUAAUAGCUGGUGGGUAAAGAAAAUACUACUUAAUAUUAGUGAAUUGUUCACGCUAGUUGAAUUGUUGCUUGGAAGCACAAAAGUUCAUUGGAAACUUGCUAAAGCACUUAGAACUCUCGUGCAGAGGAGAAAGCAAAAUUGUUUUGCAUUGCUGCAAGGUGGGGAAGGCCCAAGACCUGUGUCAGUCGCUUUGAAAGAUGGGUGUCAAAACCUUGCAGCAGGGUAUUAACGUCCUUCACUGCUAAGUGGUUUAUCUGAAGCUGUGAAGCUGAGUCUGAGAAAAGGCUUUCAAUGCUCAAAUUGUGGGCUUUUAAAGUAUUUAAAUUUGGGGGAAAAAUUUGAGAUUUUGGUGUACACGAGAUUAGACGUACGCUUUUGGGGUUACUCUUCUGGGUUUGUAACUCGUUUUUGGUCACAGAUUUUCUGAUUGAAAAUUCGGAGCAAAGUGAAAAAUGAUUUCUAAAGGAAUUUUGUAUGUCAAUAUUGUACCUUAUAAACAAAUCGCUUGUCUUUUGUAGUCAGUAGUAAAAGUUUUUGCUUAAGAUUAUCUUUACAUAGUCAUUGUAACAAGGAGAAUCAAAUAACCUUUUGUGGUCACUGUAAAAUUACUGUAAUAUUUGGUAACAAUUCAUGUACCAAGGUUAGAUCAUCUAUCAUGUCUUCAGUUUGAAAGUUUGCUUUUUAAAUGAUCCACUACUACAGGGGAAACUUUCAGCGAAAAUCAGUUUGGGGAGUGAGAACAAAAAUGUGGUGGGAGGCUUUGCUAGGUGCGGUGUAGCACUUGUUGGAGAUGCAUCUAUUGGUAAAGUAACCAGUGGCUUUUUGUUACCAUGUCUCUCUUCUCCUUAAAUUUCACCUUAGAAAUUUUAAAUCCCCAAUACUUUUGACUUUGAGAUUCUUGUUUUCUGGAUUUAAAAAAAUGUUUUCAAAUAUGUUGGCAUGAUAGUUGCGUUCUUAACCAGAGACUUGGGCGUGACACGGUUACUGACUGUCCUUGGAAUUAAGAGUGUUAUGCAUGUAUGGGGAAAUAGGUUGGGUAAGAACUAGUACUGUUGCCUCAUGUAUGUGACUAAUCAUUUUUCUUCCCCAUUUCAGCACAAAUAAAGGUUUGAGCUCUAAACUCAUUAGAA
This is a long non-coding RNA of Myotis myotis, 3121 nucleotides long. RefSeq lists it as uncharacterized. The record is from RefSeq and is a predicted model, not a curated record. Lineage: Eukaryota; Metazoa; Chordata; Mammalia; Chiroptera; Vespertilionidae. The transcript has 2 exons.